CGAUUUUUUUUAGGGUGCCCGAUACGAGUCACAUCCGCUUUUUAAAUUCCUAAAAUCAAUAGUACCUCAUGAACCAAAAUUUGAGUAGGGGCUCUUUUACGUAAUUUCAAUUGAAACUCAAAGGGCAUUCUCAAUACUCUGUCUCUCUCUCCUUAUGCCCUCUCUCUCUCUCUCCGUUCACAUUAUUCGUUCAACACUAUUCAUUUUUGUUUCGUUUUUGUGAUUCUCGGCCCCCUUCUGUAUCUUUUCAAUCAUCCAUCCAUUUUCUCUCUCUGCACUUCUUAGAGAGAGAAACACAGCAAGGGCUCUUCUUCCUCUUCAUCCUGCACUUCAGCUUUGCCUCCACUUUUUUUUCUCUUUAAAUAGCUCAAAAUCCCCUCUCUCUAACACUCUUUUAUCUCGUUUAUCUCUCCUCGUUUUAGGGCAGGUUUUAGGGCAUUCAGAUCUUCAAGUUCACCCGUAUUUGUAUCCUCAAGCUUUCUCACUCUCGAAUCAAGAUGUUUUGGCGCAUGACUGGAUUGUCCGCUGCUUCGCCUGUGAGUAAAACAUCUACUUGGUUUUUACCGAGUUUUAGUUUUGUGUAUUUAUCAUA
Molecule: long non-coding RNA, 592 nt
Filed under: Amborella trichopoda
Lineage: Eukaryota; Viridiplantae; Streptophyta; Magnoliopsida; Amborellales; Amborellaceae
Description: long non-coding RNA (ATRI_LNC003059)
Source: RNAcentral